RNAcentral lists this ribosomal RNA (252 nucleotides) under uncultured bacterium. Its description in RNAcentral is "partial 16S ribosomal RNA". It matches the Rfam family "Bacterial small subunit ribosomal RNA", at positions 524 to 776 of the family's 1533-position model. The record is from RNAcentral.
AACGUAGGAGACGAGCGUUAUCCGGAUUUACUGGGCGUAAAGGGCGUGCAGGCGGUUUGUUUAGUCUAGGGUGAAAGCUCCCGGUUAACUGGGAGAGGUCCUUGGAUACUGGCAAACUUGAGGGAGGCAGAGGAAAGUGGAAUUCCCGGUGUAGUGGUGAUAUGCGUAGAUAUCGGGAGGAACACCAGUGGCGAAGGCGGCUUUCUGGGCCUUACCUGACGCUGAGACGCGAAAGCUAGGGGAGCAAACGGG